CCUACGGGAGGCAGCAGUAGGGAAUCUUUCACAAUGGGCGAAAGCCUGAUGGAGUAACGCCGCGUGCAGGAUGAAGGCCUUCGGGUUGUAAACUGCUUUUAUAAGCGAGAAAUAUGAUGGUAACUUAUGAAUAAGGAUCGGCUAACUACGUGCCAGCAGCCGCGGUCAUACGUAGGAUCCGAGCAUUAUCCGGAGUGACUGGGUGUAAAGAGUUGCGUAGGUGGCAUAAUAAGUAGCUAGUGAAAUCUGGUGGCUCAACCAUUCAGACUAUUAGCUAAACUGUUAAGCUCGAGACCGUUAGGGGUAACUGGAAUUUCUAGUGUAGGAGUGAAAUCCGUAGAUAUUAGAAGGAACACCAAUAGCGUAGGCAGGUUGCUGGGACGGUUCUGACACUAAGGCACGAAAGCGUAGGGAGCAAACGGGAUUAGAUACCCCUGUAGUC
RNAcentral lists this ribosomal RNA (442 nucleotides) under uncultured bacterium. RNAcentral describes it as "partial 16S ribosomal RNA". It matches the Rfam family "Bacterial small subunit ribosomal RNA", at positions 338 to 795 of the family's 1533-position model. The record is from RNAcentral.